UUAAAUUGAAGAGUUUGAUCAUGGCUCAGAUUGAACGCUGGCGGCAGGCCUAACACAUGCAAGUCGAACGGUAACAGAAAGCAGCUUGCUGCUUUGCUGACGAGUGGCGGACGGGUGAGUAAUGUCUGGGAAACUGCCUGAUGGAGGG
This 148-nucleotide ribosomal RNA is filed under the name Salmonella enterica. RNAcentral describes it as "partial 16S ribosomal RNA". It matches the Rfam family "Bacterial small subunit ribosomal RNA", at positions 1 to 140 of the family's 1533-position model. The record is from RNAcentral. Lineage: Bacteria; Pseudomonadati; Pseudomonadota; Gammaproteobacteria; Enterobacterales; Enterobacteriaceae.